RNAcentral lists this ribosomal RNA (496 nucleotides) under uncultured bacterium. Its description in RNAcentral is "bacterial SSU rRNA". It matches the Rfam family "Bacterial small subunit ribosomal RNA", at positions 28 to 518 of the family's 1533-position model. The record is from RNAcentral.
GACGAACGCUGGCGGCGUGCUUAACACAUGCAAGUCGAGCGGUAAGGCCCUUUCGGGGGUACACGAGCGGCGAACGGGUGAGUAACACGUGGGUGACCUGCCCUCAGCUCUGGGAUAAGCCUGGGAAACCGGGUCUAAUACUGGAUAUGACUCCAUGACGCAUGUUGUGGGGUGGAAAGCCUUGUGCGGCUGAGGAUGGGCCCGCGGCCUAUCAGCUUGUUGGUGGGGUGANGGCCUACCAAGGCGACGAUCCGUAACUGGUCUGAGAGGACGACCAGUCACACCGGAACUGAGACACGGUCCGGACUCCUACGGGAGGCAGCAGUGGGGAAUAUUGGACAAUGGGCGAAAGCCUGAUCCAGCGACGCCGCGUGGGUGAAGAAGGCCUGCGGGUUGUAAAGCCCUUUCAGUGGGGAAGAAAAGCCUCGACCUAACACGUCGGGGUCUUGACGUAACCCAUAGAAGAAGCACCGGCUAACUCUGUGCCAGCCGCCGC